RNAcentral lists this ribosomal RNA (50 nucleotides) under Irpex lacteus. RNAcentral describes it as "partial 28S ribosomal RNA". RNAcentral also lists the same sequence under 1 other name. The record is from RNAcentral. Lineage: Eukaryota; Fungi; Basidiomycota; Agaricomycetes; Polyporales; Irpicaceae.
CUGAGCUCAAAUCAGGUAGGACUACCCGCUGAACUUAAGCAUAUCAAUAA